UAAAUUACAAUGAAAGGGACUUGGGCCCUAGUAAGUGAUAAAAUUGAAACGUACAAGUCAAUAAUUAUGCUGAUGUUGAACCAAAAUCCUAAAUAGUCCUCACCCCACACACAUAUCAUCAUCUUUGGUCAGUCUGGUGAGAUGGAGUACGAACAACAUCGAUUGUUUGCGUGGCACCUGGCACCUUCAAAGCCACAACUUCCACUUUCAACAAAAGGACAGCAAGUUUGAGUUGUCUAAUUUGUGUGCACACAUUUUUCAACUAAGCAUUAGGUUUUGCCAUCUGUCCAGCCUUAGUACCAACCCAUCAAAUGUUCUAAUAGAGAUGGGUUCACGUUUGUCAGCAACCCUACUCAAUUUUUUUUUUUUUUUUAUGAAUCAACCCUAGUCAAUGUGAGAAAGGGAAAAUAGGAUUCUCCUCCCAUUUGUAGUCUCUUAUCAGCGGUAGUAAAGUCCUUAGGGCAGCUCAGUUGCCCAUGUUUAGGUGUUGAUAAAGCUGCUUCUAAUGGUGGCCUCAGAAUUUGAAAGGCUACUACUAUUGCUCCUCCCCAGCAUUGUAUUCGUAGUCUUGAUUUUCUUUUUUUAAAGGAAAAGAUAAAUACUUAUUAACAUAUAUAAGGUUUAGAAUUUUCGAGAGGCUGUGGGAUUCGCCAUGGAUUCAUAUCAAGUGAUUGGGAAAAAUUGGAGUUGGAAGAGGAAAAUGUGACAGCAUGAUGUGAUGUUUGGCUAGAGAAUUUGGACUAGGUUUGCUCUUUCUUUCCUAUGUAUAUCAAUUUGAACCAUGAUACUCUUUUUCUUUUAAUAAAGAAAACUAUGACUCUUUUUUUAGAAAGAAAAACUAUGAGACAUGAAUAUAACUAUAAAUAUGAGUGUAAGGUUUAUUUUGAAAAACCAGCAAUAAUAUAAGUUGUGGUAUGUCAAUCUAAAAAUAAAUAUGGACUGUAUCGUGUCAAUAUUUUGUAAGGUAAGCCUACACAGUUCGUGAAUUGAUCUUUUCGUGUUAUGUUCAAA
Long non-coding RNA from Cannabis sativa, 1011 nucleotides. RefSeq lists it as uncharacterized. NCBI's taxonomy places the organism in Eukaryota, Viridiplantae, Streptophyta, Magnoliopsida, Rosales, Cannabaceae. The transcript has 2 exons. The record is from RefSeq and is a predicted model, not a curated record.